This 253-nucleotide ribosomal RNA is filed under the name uncultured bacterium. Its description in RNAcentral is "partial 16S ribosomal RNA". It matches the Rfam family "Bacterial small subunit ribosomal RNA", at positions 524 to 776 of the family's 1533-position model. The record is from RNAcentral.
GACAGAGGUGCCAAGCGUUAGGCGGGAUCACUGGGCUUAAAGCGUGUGUAGGCGGACUUCUAAGUACCUUGUGAAAUCCCCCGGCUCAACCGGGGAACGGCUGGGUAUACUGGGAGUCUUGAGCCAGCUAGGGGUCGCCGGAACAAGUGGUGGAGCGGUGAAAUGCGUAGAUAUCACUUGGAACGCCAAUGGUGAAAACAGGCGACUGGGGCUGUGCUGACGCUGAGACACGAAAGCCAGGGGAGCGAACGGG